Long non-coding RNA from Canis lupus familiaris (dog), 2760 nucleotides. RefSeq lists it as uncharacterized. NCBI's taxonomy places the organism in Eukaryota, Metazoa, Chordata, Mammalia, Carnivora, Canidae. The transcript has 6 exons. The record is from RefSeq and is a predicted model, not a curated record.
AAUCUAGAGCUUCCUGAUUUACUCUUCUGAAAAAAAUUUCAUGUCUACAGUUACCCCACAAAUAUUCUUUCAAGCAGUCUCACUUAAAAAUGUACCUCUCAAAGCAAAGGUUAAGUAUGAUGGCAUGAAGAACAUUAUGUACACACAUAAUUGAGAAAUGUAAGCAUUAAAACAUGUUAAUAUACAAAUUACGCUUUUACACUAAGAACUAAAAGUAAGUUUUUUAAUUCUGCUCAGAUUUAAGUGUGAAUAACUUAAAUGGCAACAAUUUAUUUUCUUUUAAUAAAGCAAAUUCAGGGAAGGAUACAUUUAGUCCCUUUCCAAGUUGAAUAGUUAAAUUACAUAGCUACAAUCUAAUACCCUAUUUCAUUGAAAUGUAUCUUCAAAAUUUGGUAAAAUGCAACUUACUGCCUCUGAGUAGGCCGACAGUAUGAGCUAUGAAUUUGUAAAGGGUAAUUUGAAGAUAGGGUAGACAGCCAUAUUUUUAGAUUUACUGGAGGUCAUUUCUUUAUAAAAGUAAUAAUAGGAUAAAAAAUAAUUCAGUCCAUAAUGGUAAUAAAAGGAUAAAAAAUAAGUCUUCAUGAAAAAUUUUCUCUAAAAACAAACAAAAAAACCCUAAUAUUUUUGCUUCUAAACUUUCACAGAUACACUUCAGUUAAUCCCUACACCAACCAUAAAAUUUCAGCGUUGUUAUUCAACUUUCAUAGUUGGGGAACUUGAGGCUCAGAGAAGUUAAGUAACUUGCCCGAACUCAGAGUGCUAGUCCUGGGAUUUGAGUCUAGGUUGUUGGUGAUAAAACCAGAGCUAUCUAUUGCAUCAGGCCACCUUCCUAGCUACUCUCUGAUCUUGUCCUUAAUUAUGAGCAUUUAUAAUAUAUACAUACCACCAGGUUUCCAAUGACCAUGACCAACAUGAAAACAAUAAGGCACAUGGUUUGGCCAGCGACCUCCAUACAGUCCCACAUGGUUUCUAUCCACUCUCCACACAGCACGCGGAACACAAUCAGGAAGGAGUGGAAGAAGUCAUUCAUGUGCCAGCGUGGGAGUUGGCAGUCACUGGAGAUCUUGCAGACACAUUCUUUGUAGCUCUUACCAAAGAGCUGCAUGCCGACCACGGCAAAAAUGAAGACGAUGAUGGCCAACACCAAGCUAUCCAAAGAGGAGUGUCCUGGAGCUUAACAUCUGAGACAGAGCUUUGCCCAGAACAGGUGUUCAGAAGUGCCUAUUAGCAAACUAGAUUGAACAGAAAUAUCCCCAGGGUCUUCAUCUUCAGGGGAGAAAGGACAAGGCCUGGAGUCUGAGACUGGCUGCGAUUUUAGCCACUGAGCACAUUGGCACCAAAAUUAGAGCGAGGGCCUGAGUGCACUGCCCUGAUUUAGGUGUCACUGAUGCCACUUACUGCAGCAGAAACAUACAGUGGAAGGUCUCUGCAUGUAAAAGCAGAAAGGAUGCUGUUCAAUGCUCAAUUCUUUUGAGGCUGAAGACAACCAGAAUGCCACAGUUCUACUAAAUGCUUUUGAAUGACAAGUUGAAAUGCUUUCCCCCAAAGAAUCAGUCAGCUGGUUUUCAAACCUGGCCACAUAUUUGAACUAUACUUGCAGAGCUUUUGAACAAACAGAUAUCAGGCUCAGCCCCAGAGAAUAGAACUGAAUUGGACUAAAGUGGAGCCAGCAUUGCUCUUUUUUAAGCUUCUCAGGUGAAUCCAGUGUGCAGCCAAAGCUUAUCAUGUUGUACGUCUUUCUAUUUUCUCUCAGAAUGUUUGCAUAUCUAUUUCCCUUCAACUAUUCUUUUCUUCUAUCAUUUUCAUUAGUGAGGUUUUAAAAAUCUAAUUUUUGUCAUUUCUCAUUUUGCUUUUUUUUUUUCCUUCUGAUUUUCCACUUACUGGCCAAGAAGUUCUCAUUCCAGGCACAUGUAUCUGAUUUGUAUUCUUAUCUAAUACUACUAGAUUUUUAUGUUAAUGAGAGAGAAUGCAAUAUGAUUGUGAAUUAUACUUUUGUCUGUCCUUCCAGUGCUGAUAUAAUAAUAUACUUUAAUUUUCGGUAUAAAUAUAUAAGAUUGAUAGUGAAGCGCAAAACCAUCGUUGAAAACCAACAUUAAGAGUAGAUUUACUUGAACUGUAAUCAUUAUUGGCUACAAUUAAAGAUAAUUUAAUACAAUUUUAGAACUUUGAGGCUAUAUGGGACUCAAGGACAUGCAAAUAUCCUAUUAAUAAUAUUUUUACCAUUUCACAGCUGAAGGGUCAAUUUUUGAAUUUUAAUCUAAAGACAAAUUUCAGUAGUUUCCAAACAGGGCAGGAGUAGGAAUAUUACAUGCCAUAUCAACUAUCAUAUCAGUAACAUGAUAAUAAUAGCAAGAGAAACACUGAUAGCAACAAAAGGAUCUAUGAUGAUAAUUAAAAUUUGAUGAUUUAAAUAUCAGCAGGAAAAACAGAAAUAUGGGAGGUAAUGCAUAGAAUAUUCAAAGUUUUGAAAUGAAUGUAAUAGGAAAAUCGCAGGCAGUUGACUGAGGCCUGGAGUAGUAGAUAAGAAAUAUGAAUGUUAUUGUGGCUGUGCCUUGAAAUGCAGUCAAGCCAUUUCCUCUCCAUCAGGUUUAUUUUUCCUCACUGGUAAAAAUACUGGUUGGAUUGGCAAAAGGAAAAAAAAAAAAGAAAGAAAGAAAAAACCUGGCCAAACCCCCUUGACUGCGUCCUGCCUAUAGGUAUGUUUUGUUGGAUUUAUCCAGUAUUGUAAAUGAAUUGAAAUGGAUGACAACAUUUAACAAG